This 116-nucleotide ribosomal RNA is filed under the name Microcebus murinus (gray mouse lemur). The record is from RNAcentral. Lineage: Eukaryota; Metazoa; Chordata; Mammalia; Primates; Cheirogaleidae.
AUCUACAGCCAUGCCAUCCUGAACACGCUUGAACUUGUCUGACCUUGGAAGCUAAGUAGGGUCGGGGCUGGUUAGUACUUGGAUGGGAGAAUGGGGAAAAUUGCCGGGCUUUGCUA